UGCGUUUUCGCAGCGGAGCUCGACCGCCCUGCGACGAAUGAUCGCCUACAUCGAUGCUCAUCGCGGUCAGUUCGGGGGUCGAGCUCAUCUGCGCCGUGCUGCGGGCAGCAACCCCA
This 116-nucleotide non-coding RNA is filed under the name Mycobacterium lentiflavum. Lineage: Bacteria; Bacillati; Actinomycetota; Actinomycetes; Mycobacteriales; Mycobacteriaceae. The record is from RNAcentral.